CCGCCAGCUCCCCCCGCAUCCCCUUUGCUUUCCUCCGCCUCUGGGGGCCCUCCUCCGUGACCCCUGAAUGCCCCCCACUUCCCUCAGAUCCACACCUCGCACCUGUCAGUGCCCCGCCCCGUCCUGCCCAGUCCCAGGGGAUCGACAGCGCCCGCCCGGGGCCUCUCCCAACCCCAGCGCCGUCCUCCGCGCGGUUCCCACUUGCUGCCCCCUCGCCACCACCCGUGCCCCUCGGCUCCCUGGGUCUUCAGAGGUCCCCCUCUCCUCCUCCCAAGACCGCAGUUCCCUCCCCUCCCUUCCCCUCUCCUCCUCUGCUGCUGAGCGACUUUUCCUGCUCCCUUGCAUUCUCACGCAGGCCGUUAAGGAAUAGAAACACAAGACAAAAAUUUCCUACCUAUUUCCUCUGUAAAAUGGGCAUGGAAGAUUAGUAUGGAGUUGUUAAAAUAAUGUGUGUAAUGCCAGCUACAGGUUUGUCUACCAUUGUCCCACUUGCCUGAAUAAAUUGCUUUCUGAAGGCAUGAAGACUUAGACAAGAAAAACAAGUGGAAAGAGGCUGGUCACAGAAAGCUGAGCAGUUCAAAACUCAUUAGGUGGGGAGCUAAGCAAGUUGGGACUUCCUGGCCGGCUCCUGGUCACAGCAGCAGGCGGGAGCAUCCGCCCAGAUCCCCC
Non-coding RNA from Delphinapterus leucas (beluga whale), 669 nucleotides. The record is from RefSeq and is a predicted model, not a curated record. Lineage: Eukaryota; Metazoa; Chordata; Mammalia; Artiodactyla; Monodontidae.